CAAGGAUGGAAGAGGCCCUUGGGUCUGAGAACACGCACACAGUUAAGGCACUGCCACCUACUCAUGGCAUCUAACCAUUUUUAAUA
This 86-nucleotide non-coding RNA is filed under the name Otolemur garnettii (small-eared galago). Lineage: Eukaryota; Metazoa; Chordata; Mammalia; Primates; Galagidae. The record is from RNAcentral.